GCUGUGGCCCAGUGGUAAGUGCGCCUUGACUCAUAGGCAAGCGGUUGCAGGAUCAAACCCAACCACCGCC
RNAcentral lists this transfer RNA (70 nucleotides) under Alexandrium monilatum. Lineage: Eukaryota; Dinophyceae; Gonyaulacales; Pyrocystaceae. The record is from RNAcentral.